This 752-nucleotide ribosomal RNA is filed under the name Chaetothyriales sp. Pet1W-4b. Its description in RNAcentral is "SSU rRNA". It matches the Rfam family "Bacterial small subunit ribosomal RNA", at positions 369 to 1210 of the family's 1533-position model. Lineage: Eukaryota; Fungi; Ascomycota; Eurotiomycetes; Chaetothyriales. The record is from RNAcentral.
CAAUGGCCUAACGGCUGAACCAGCAAUUUGGAAGAACGAAUAACGAGUAAGUCGUAUAAAGUUCUAGAUAGAAUACUGAUAAUGACUAUUUUCUAUCUAUUAGUCUUGACCAAAUUACGUGCCAGCAGUCGCGGUAAUACGUAGAAGACAAGUGUUAUUCAUCUUUAAUGGGUUUAAAGGGUACCUAGACUGGAAAUAAAGCCAGAAUUUAAUGUUAUACAUUGGAACUAAUUUCCUAGAGUUUUAUGUGUGAAUAUAUGAAUUACCGGAGGAGCGAUCGUAUGCAUUUAUACCGGUAGGACGGAUAGAAGCUAAAGCGAUAUUCUAUGUAGAAACUGACGUUGAGGGACGAAGCCUUGGGUAGCGAACAGGAUUUGAUACCCUAUUAGUCCUUGGAGACAAUUAUGAGUGCCAUAAGCAUGUUAUAGAUGUGUUUAUAAAUGAAAGUGCAAGCACUCCACCUCAUGAGUACGGCGGCAAUGCCUAAAUUGAAAUCAUUAGACCGUAUCUGAAAUCAGUAGUGAAGUAUGUUAUUUAAUCCGAUAAUCCGCGAAUAACCUUACCACCCCUUGAAUAAAACAAAUUGUUCAUACAAACGCUGCACGGUUGUCUUCAGUUAAUGUCGUGAGAUGUGGUUAAUUCCUCUAAUUAACGAAAACCCUUGCUUUAAAUAUAUUUUAAAUAAAGUAGUUCGUCUAAAUAUUAGAUAAGAUAACAGGGACUAAGGCAAGUUGUCGUGGCUCUAACUGGGC